UGUUAAAUGGCCGAAUACAGGUGAAAGUCUUUUAAGCUUUUUAUGAGAGUACUCUUUAACAA
This 62-nucleotide transfer RNA is filed under the name Orthione mesoamericana. RNAcentral describes it as "tRNA-Lys". Lineage: Eukaryota; Metazoa; Arthropoda; Malacostraca; Isopoda; Bopyridae. The record is from RNAcentral.